Molecule: non-coding RNA, 27 nt
Filed under: Homo sapiens (human)
Lineage: Eukaryota; Metazoa; Chordata; Mammalia; Primates; Hominidae
Source: RNAcentral
UGACACCACCCCAGGAAGGAGGCUUGC